AUUGAACGCUGGCGGCAUGCUUUACACAUGCAAGUCGAGCGGCAGCGCGGGGGCAACUCUGGCGGCGAGCGGCGAACGGGUGAGGAAUGCAUCGGAACGUGCCCGGGAGUGGGGGAUAACGCCGCGAAAGCGGCGCUAAUACCGCAUAUUCUCUGUGGAGGAAAGUGGGGGACCGCAAGGCCUCACGGCUUUCGGAGCGGCCGAUGUCGGAUUAGCUUGUUGGUGGGGUAAAGGCUUACCAAGGCGACGAUCCGUAGCUGGUCUGAGAGGAUGAUCAGCCACACUGGGACUGAGACACGGCCCAGACUCCUACGGGAGGCAGCAGUGGGGAAUUUUGGACAAUGGGGGCAACCCUGAUCCAGCCAUGCCGCGUGC
Molecule: ribosomal RNA, 375 nt
Filed under: uncultured bacterium
Lineage: Bacteria
Description: bacterial SSU rRNA
Rfam family: Bacterial small subunit ribosomal RNA
Source: RNAcentral